Solanum tuberosum (potato) is the source of this 3365-nucleotide long non-coding RNA. RefSeq lists it as uncharacterized. The record is from RefSeq and is a predicted model, not a curated record. The transcript has 2 exons. Lineage: Eukaryota; Viridiplantae; Streptophyta; Magnoliopsida; Solanales; Solanaceae.
UAUACAAAUAUUCUUUCUCCAAAAUUCUUGUGCUGGUUUUAUAUUAAAGAAUUUUGUUAGUUUCUGGCUCCUAAUUUUAUAUUAGAAGAGCUUGUUGAAUUUGGGAAUAUAUCUAUACCGGGUGAAAUAUCUUUAAGGACAGGGUUUUUCAACACGCCUCAAGCUAUGAAAAUUUCCUACAAAUGUUCAUGACAAAGGUAUUUUCCAUAAGAUUUCCAACAUACUUAACUCAAAGGAGAUCUAUGAAUAUUGUCACUUCAACCAAUAGACGUACGAAGUACGAAGACAAGAAAUUUCAAGUAAGAAGAGCAUAUGAAUAUUUUGGCCAUAUUAGGCAUGUUGACUUGUAGAAAGUAAAGGCUCUGUUCACAUAUAUCAACUGCACCGACUCCCUUUAAACUGAGAAUGCUCAGCUGAAGGUUGACAUCAAGACUCCUCAGGACGAGAUCACAGCUUAAGAAGAAGAUAAUACAAGAGCAGUUGGUGCACAAUGGGUGUAUUGAAAAAACUGCUAUAGGGCGUUGAAGCUUACUGCUAGCCGCACCUACUGCAUAUUCUGAGAACUGGUCUAGUAGUUGUUAGGUGUGAUCGAGUUUGUAAUUGUUUGUUUAUUGAAGUUUUGUUUGUUAAGCAAGAGUCACUAUGUGUGUUGAAUGUUGGUUUGUAGAAUGCUAGAGACUUAGAGUUAUAAGUUUUUGUUGAGUUUAUUAGUCGGAGUAAACAGAUUUGUUCGAGGUAUUGGAGUUAGUUCAUUUGAUUAUUGAGUUGUAAUCUAAAAUCAGUCUUUGAAGUUUAGUGAACGUUGCUAAAAAACCUACACCACUGUAGGUCUUUUACAUCGUUGAAGUUUAGUGAAGUUUAUAUAAAGGCCGUAUUAGUUUGAUAAUUUUAUCGUGUACCUACUACCUCCCACUGGCGUAGGUAUUUGUUAUUCUGCCUAGGCAGAUGGAAAUUUCUAGCCUUUUUUGUUUGUGCUGGAACUUGAGCGGUAAUCUCAUUCAUUUCAUUGAUCACUAGAAAGCGGUGGCAGAUCGCAAUUGCAAUCAAGUAGUGGGAAGGGGAUCCAAUCUUAAUUCUAGAAUUGACUUCUUCUAACUCAAUCAUCAAUCUACUUUGUUCCUUUGGCGUAUUAUAUUAGUUUUUACCACCAAUCUUUUCUACUUGGUGGUACUAUGUUAGUUUUUACCCUUAAAAUUUACUCCUCCUCUGAAGCCUCACUAUGUGGUAUCUCUUACGCCUUUUUGUGGCCCCAAAUUGUGUCCGGGUUACAAGUACCUUCAAAUUUAAAGAAGUUGGUACUAUUCGGGACUGAUAUAGAAAGAGCAAUUUCCUUCAUUGCGGGAUUACCAAGCCUGGAGUAUCUCCAGUUACAAGAUCUGUAUCUUAUAGAUUCUGAACCGAGUUUUUCUCAAUCAAAAGAGUGGUGCCUUCGAGAUAUCACGUUCCAUAAACUGAAGUUCUUGAAACUGUCGUGCUUAAGUAUCUCAAGGUGGGAUGCCUUGGAGGAAUCCUUUCCCUGCUCGAAACACUUGUUAUAAGAGCAUGCGACAAUCUCAAGGAGAUCCCCCUUAGCUUUGUAGAUAUUCCACCACUGAAAUAAAUUAAGUUGAUUUUGUGCAACAACAAAUCUCUGGAGGCUUCAGCUGUGAGAAUUAAGGAAGAAGUCGAAGCGAUUGAAAGAUGUGACUGUGUUGACAUCACUACCCAAAAUUUGGGGGGAAGGAAUAUAAGGAGGCCGUGAAUCAAGUAUGUACCCGUAACCACAACCAUGGUAUUGUAACACUACUACUGAUUGCUAAGUUUGUCUUAAUUGAUCAACUCUUUUUCUGUAUGAUUGGAGACAAAUAUAUAUCAGAUGGUCUUUUACUGUGAUUUCUUGUUGCCUUCUGUCAAAUCAUUGUUUCAUUUUUGUUUUUGAACAUCAUAGGAAGCCAGAUAUAUCGAUAUCACCUGUCAAACCCCUAAUCAGCUUUCCAGGAGGACAAUGGCAGUCCCUGAAAUUAAUGAGUAUAAUUAGUUAACGACAAUGUUGAUAGUAUAUGGUAUAGCCACACAAAUCUUAUGACAGGUUUAGACAACCCCUGAAGUAAUAUAUUGUUAGCACAUUCAUUAUGUUAGAACGAUAUUUGAUUUAUUGGAGAGUGCUACCCAGCUUCAAAUACUACACCUUACCUUUGAGUGGUCCACCAUUGUAUCCGAGUUACACUUGCCUUCAAAUAUAAAGAAGUUGGUACAUACGGGGACUCAUAUAGAAAGCACGAUGUCUUUCGUUGCAGGACUACCAAGUGCACUGGAUUUGUGAAGGAUUCAAAAUCAAGAAAGAAGUCGAAGAGAUUGAAGGAUGCGAUUGCAUAGACCUCAUCAUUAUCGAAGUAAGUAGAAACAAACGCCUAUGUGCUGUGUUUUGAGUAGCUAUGUGCAUCUAAUUUGAUAACAGCAUGUAUAAUACAGUGAGGAGAGCUUUUUCUAGCAACUGUGAGUCAAGUGCCUGCAAAACAUUUUGCAAGAGCAUCCGCAACUUCAUUUUGCGAAAAAAAAUAUUUCAAUCAAUACUUUUUGCUACAUGGAAAGCAGCUUGAAUAAAGCAGUAUCAUAGUACUAUUAGCACUCUACUUUCAAUUAUCAGAAGAAUAUCAAGAAAUGGCUCCAAAAGGUACACUGCUGUAUGCCUUCGUACAGAUGCGGUACUUUGGGCACUUGGGUUGCUUUGAAUGAGCACACAUGCUGUCUCCUAGCACUGCACUUACUGUUUUUCUUUUGUUUUAUAUAAAGGCCACAUUAGUUUGCCAACGAUAAUUUUAUUAUGUACCUACUACCUCCCACUAGCAUAGGUAUUUGUUAAUUCUGUCUACCAACAUUUAUGCAAAUGGGAAAUUUCUUGCCUUUCUUUGUUUGUACUGAACUUGAGCGUAAUCUCAUACGAUUUUCACCCAUUUCAUUGAUGACUAGAACGCGGUGACAGAUCGCAAUUGCAAGCAAGUAGUGGAAAGGGUAUUCAAUCUUAAUUCUAGAAUUGACUUCUUUCAACUCAAUCAUCAUUCUACAUUGUUCCUUUGCGCACUAUGGUAGUAUUUACGAGCAUUCUUUUCUACUUGAACCUAAUCAAGUAGAAGAUAAUGCUGAUCAAUCAAACGUCAAAGGAGGUAGCAGAGAGGGUCUGUUGCCUAAAUGUCCAGUUGAUACCUUACUUUGCAAAUUGCAAAUAACUAUGCUGUGGACCAAAUUGACCUAUAAAAGGGGAGAAAAGAGCUAUAUGAUGAAAAGUUGUGCAGAGAGAUUCUGUUCUUUUAGCACAUGCUAAUGAUUCCUUUUGUUCCUUAUGGCUAACAAUCAAUAUAUGAAUGUGCCUUAUCAAAUCAAACAGA